RNAcentral lists this ribosomal RNA (2206 nucleotides) under Salmonella enterica subsp. enterica serovar Typhimurium. RNAcentral's name for it is "partial 23S ribosomal RNA". It matches the Rfam family "Bacterial large subunit ribosomal RNA", at positions 711 to 2813 of the family's 2925-position model. Lineage: Bacteria; Pseudomonadati; Pseudomonadota; Gammaproteobacteria; Enterobacterales; Enterobacteriaceae. The record is from RNAcentral.
AGACCCGAAACCCGGUGAUCUAGCCAUGGGCAGGUUGAAGGUUGGGUAACACUAACUGGAGGACCGAACCGACUAAUGUUGAAAAAUUAGCGGAUGACCUGUGGCUGGGGGUGAAAGGCCAAUCAAACCGGGAGAUAGCUGGUUCUCCCCGAAAGCUAUUUAGGUAGCGCCUCGUGAAUUCAUCUCCGGGGGUAGAGCACUGUUUCGGCUAGGGGGCCAUCCCGGCUUACCAACCCGAUGCAAACUGCGAAUACCGGAGAAUGUUAUCACGGGAGACACACGGCGGGUGCUAACGUCCGUCGUGAAGAGGGAAACAACCCAGACCGCCAGCUAAGGUCCCAAAGUCAUGGUUAAGUGGGAAACGAUGUGGGAAGGCCCAGACAGCCAGGAUGUUGGCUUAGAAGCAGCCAUCAUUUAAAGAAAGCGUAAUAGCUCACUGGUCGAGUCGGCCUGCGCGGAAGAUGUAACGGGGCUAAACCAUGCACCGAAGCUGCGGCAGCGAACGUAUCACCCAAGACAACUUUACGGAGUUGACGAUUGACGGAGCGAAGCGACGUCAAAGCGUUCAUUAAAGUCGAGUUGGCUUAGGGAUACGUUCGUUGGGUAGGGGAGCGUUCUGUAAGCCUGUGAAGGUGUGUCGUGAGGCAUGCUGGAGGUAUCAGAAGUGCGAAUGCUGACAUAAGUAACGAUAAAGCGGGUGAAAAGCCCGCUCGCCGGAAGACCAAGGGUUCCUGUCCAACGUUAAUCGGGGCAGGGUGAGUCGACCCCUAAGGCGAGGCCGAAAGGCGUAGUCGAUGGGAAACGGGUUAAUAUUCCCGUACUUGGUGUUACUGCGAAGGGGGGACGGAGAAGGCUAUGUUGGCCGGGCGACGGUUGUCCCGGUUUAAGCGUGUAGGUGUGUGUUCCAGGUAAAUCCGGUUCACUUUAACACUGAGGCGUGACGACGAGGCACUACGGUGCUGAAGCAACAAAUGCCCUGCUUCCAGGAAAAGCCUCUAAGCAUCAGGUAACACGAAAUCGUACCCCAAACCGACACAGGUGGUCAGGUAGAGAAUACCAAGGCGCUUGAGAGAACUCGGGUGAAGGAACUAGGCAAAAUGGUGCCGUAACUUCGGGAGAAGGCACGCUGACACGUAGGUGAAGUGAUUUACUCAUGGAGCUGAAGUCAGUCGAAGAUACCAGCUGGCUGCAACUGUUUAUUAAAAACACAGCACUGUGCAAACACGAAAGUGGACGUAUACGGUGUGACGCCUGCCCGGUGCCGGAAGGUUAAUUGAUGGGGUCAGCGCAAGCGAAGCUCCUGAUCGAAGCCCCGGUAAACGGCGGCCGUAACUAUAACGGUCCUAAGGUAGCGAAAUUCCUUGUCGGGUAAGUUCCGACCUGCACGAAUGGCGUAAUGAUGGCCAGGCUGUCUCCACCCGAGACUCAGUGAAAUUGAACUCGCUGUGAAGAUGCAGUGUACCCGCGGCAAGACGGAAAGACCCCGUGAACCUUUACUAUAGCUUGACACUGAACAUUGAGCCUUGAUGUGUAGGAUAGGUGGGAGGCUUUGAAGUGUGGACGCCAGUCUGCAUGGAGCCGACCUUGAAAUACCACCCUUUAAUGUUUGAUGUUCUAACGUGGACCCGUAAUCCGGGUUGCGGACAGUGUCUGGUGGGUAGUUUGACUGGGGCGGUCUCCUCCUAAAGAGUAACGGAGGAGCACGAAGGUUGGCUAAUCCUGGUCGGACAUCAGGAGGUUAGUGCAAUGGCAUAAGCCAGCUUGACUGCGAGCGUGACGGCGCGAGCAGGUGCGAAAGCAGGUCAUAGUGAUCCGGUGGUUCUGAAUGGAAGGGCCAUCGCUCAACGGAUAAAAGGUACUCCGGGGAUAACAGGCUGAUACCGCCCAAGAGUUCAUAUCGACGGCGGUGUUUGGCACCUCGAUGUCGGCUCAUCACAUCCUGGGGCUGAAGUAGGUCCCAAGGGUAUGGCUGUUCGCCAUUUAAAGUGGUACGCGAGCUGGGUUUAGAACGUCGUGAGACAGUUCGGUCCCUAUCUGCCGUGGGCGCUGGAGAACUGAGGGGGGCUGCUCCUAGUACGAGAGGACCGGAGUGGACGCAUCACUGGUGUUCGGGUUGUCAUGCCAAUGGCACUGCCCGGUAGCUAAAUGCGGAAGAGAUAAGUGCUGAAAGCAUCUAAGCACGAAACUUGCCCCGAGAUGAGUUCUC